This 1336-nucleotide ribosomal RNA is filed under the name uncultured bacterium. RNAcentral's name for it is "partial 16S ribosomal RNA". It matches the Rfam family "Bacterial small subunit ribosomal RNA", at positions 8 to 1367 of the family's 1533-position model. The record is from RNAcentral.
AGAGUUUGAUCCUGGCUCAGGACGAACGCUGGCGGCGUGCUUCAUACAUGCAAGUCGAACGAGAAGUUACCUUCGGGUAAUGGACAGUGGCGGACGGGUGAGUAAUGUGUAGAGAAUCUGCCCUUGAGCGGGGGACAACAGCUGGAAACGGUUGCUAAUACCCCAUAUGAUGCCGGUUGUGAUACUGGUAUUGAAAACUCCGGUGCUCAAGGAUGAGUCUGCAUCUGAUUAGCUAGUUGGGGGUGUAAUGGAUCACCAAGGCGACGAUCAGUAGCUGGUUUGAGAGGAUGAUCAGCCACAAUGGGACUGAGACACGGCCCAUACUCCUACGGGAGGCAGCAGUAGGGAAUUUUGCGCAAUGGGGGCAACCCUGACGCAGCAACGCCGCGUGAUUGAUUAAGCCCUUCGGGGUGUAAAGAUCUGUCAGUGGGGACGAAAUAUGACGGUACCCACAGAGGAAGCACCGGCUAACUCCGUGCCAGCAGCCGCGGUAAUACGGAGGGUGCAAGCGUUGUCCGGAAUCAUUGGGCGUAAAGAGUUCGUAGGUGGCAUGUAAAGUCUGGUGUUAAAGGCAGAAGCUCAACUUCUGUAGGGCACUGGAUACUUGCAAGCUGGAAUGCGGUAGAGGUAAAGGGAAUUCCUGGUGUAGCGGUGAAAUGCGUAGAUAUCAGGAGGAACAUCGGUGGCGUAAGCGCUUUACUGGGCCGUAAUUGACACUGAGGAACGAAAGCCGGGGUAGCAAAUGGGAUUAGAUACCCCAGUAGUCCCGGCCGUAAACGAUGGAUACUAGGUGUUGGGGGUAUCGACCCCUGCAGUGCCGCAGCUAACGCGUUAAGUAUCCCGCCUGGGGAGUACGCACGCAAGUGUGAAACUCAAAGGAAUUGACGGGGACCCGCACAAGCGGUGGAACAUGUGGUUUAAUUCGAAGCAACGCGAAGAACCUUACCAGGGCUUGACAUAUGGGUGAAGCGGGGGAGACCCCGUGGCCGAGAGGAGCCCAUACAGGUGGUGCAUGGCUGUCGUCAGCUCGUGUCGUGAGAUGUUGGGUUAAGUCCCGCAACGAGCGCAACCCCCGCCGCGUGUUGCCAUCGGGUGAUGCCGGGAACCCACGCGGGACCGCCGCCGUCAAGGCGGAGGAGGGCGGGGACGACGUCAAGUCAUCAUGCCCCUUAUGCCCUGGGCUGCACACGUGCUACAAUGGCCGGUACAGAGGGAUGCCACCCCGCGAGGGGGAGCGGAUCCCGGAAAGCCGGCCCCAGUUCGGAUAAGGGGGCUGCAACCCGCCCCCAUGAAGUCGGAGUUGCUAGUAAUCGCGGAUCAGCAUGCCGCGGUGAAU